Molecule: non-coding RNA, 1154 nt
Organism: Malus domestica (apple)
Lineage: Eukaryota; Viridiplantae; Streptophyta; Magnoliopsida; Rosales; Rosaceae
Source: RefSeq, a predicted model, not a curated record
UUCACCCACACCCCAGAAAGGAAAGGAGAGAUAAGAGACCGACCAAGAGUUAGAGGAGAGGAGUGAGAUAAAGAAAUAAAAGCAAAAGAGUGAAUAUUUCAUCGCAUUUUCUUUCCAGAUUGCAUAACAUAUUUGCAUCCAUCUUCAUUCAAACUUCUGAAGAAAACUACUUUCAGAAUCACCAGAGAAAUGGGCGAAGAGAAGAAAGAGGAAGAGAAGAAGGAAGAAAGCAAAGAUGAAAAGAAAGAAGAAGAGAAAAAGGAAGAAAAGAAAGAAGAAGAGCCUCCGGAUAUUGUACUCAAGGUUGAUAUGCAUUGUGAAGCUUGCGCAAGGAAGGUUGCUCGAGCCUUGAAGGGUUUUGAAGGAGUGGAGGAUGUAACGACAGACAGCAAGGCAAGUAAGGUGGUGGUGAAAGGGAAGGCGGCAGACCCCAUAAAGGUCUGCGAAAGAUUACAAAAGAAAAGCGGCAAAAAAGUGGACCUCAUUUCACCUUUGCCUAAACCACCAGAGGAGAAGAAGGAGGACCAACAGGUUAAAGAAGCUGACAAGGAAGAGAAAAAAGAGCAGCCUCCUGCUGUUGUUACGGUGGUAUUGCAAGUUCGAAUGCACUGCGACGCCUGCGCUCAAGUUCUACAGAAGCGAAUUCGAAAGAUCCAAGGAGUGGAAUCAGUGGAAACAGACGUAGCUAAUAAUCAGGUUGUGGUAAAAGGCGUAGUGGACCCGGCGAAGCUAGCUGAGGAGGUGUAUAAAAAAACCAGGAAGCAGGUUUCUGUUGUGAAGGAGGAAGAGAAGAAGGAAGAAGAAAAGAAAGAAGAGGAGAAGAAAGAAGCCGAGAAAGAAGAGAGACGAAAGAAGGGGAGGAAGACAAGCAGGGAGAGGAUAAUAAGGUCGAUAUCAAGCGAAGUGAAUAUUGGCCGACAAAGUACUACUCGGAUUAUUCAUCGUAUCCAAACCCUCAGAUUUUCAGCGAUGAAAACCCUAAUGCAUGCUCUGUUAUGUAACUGCUAUAUAUGUAUAUGCGUGCAGUAAGACAUGCAUGCCUAAAUCUGCAAUUUUCUACGUACAUGUGGAAAUUAAUAAUUGAACUAUUAACUAUUGCAACUUAUAUAUUAAUUAAGAGUGUAUGCAUGCCAUCCUUGGGCAUCAAUCCGAUA